UCCCUGAUAUUCGAUAUUCUGAGGCAGGACCCAUUUGUUACCAAUAAGACCUAAAAACAUACUCCAUAGGAUCUGCUGCAAAUAGGUGGUUUGUGUGUUUCUGCUUCCUUCAUGCACAUAUAGCAUCUGUUAGCCAUCUGAAACUUCCUUCUGGCAGGUUGUCUUGGGUCAGGCAAGUUCCAUGAAGUGCAAACCAGCUGAAGCAACUAAUCUUCGGGGGCAGCUUGAUCUUCCAUAUAAGCUUCCAAGGCCAGUGGCUGUAAUUGCAUUUUGUGGACCUAGAAGCUUGAAUGCUGCUAUAACUGAGAACUUCCCAUCCCCUUUUGCUCCCCAAUUGAGUUGGUCUAGUGUUUCACUGUUAAUUGCAACAUUGUGAAGUAGGCUGACCCAACUCCUCCAUUUCCCAAUCCGGUCCUCCACCGCAGACAGGGAACGACUUCUGCUGGGCUAAUAACAAUUAAAGAACUAAAUGACUUUCUUGAUCACUUGGCCUCAAGUGAAAACAGAGUGCGCACUGGAGUUUCUGAUGAGAAACGCAAUACCAUAGUAACUCCAUAAAAGCCCUAUUUCAGGCAAUAUUUCUGUUUUCUGUUGUACCUUUUAUUCUUGCACUGUUAAGAAUGUUUUUUUUUUAAACUUUUGGCGAUGUCUGAGUUGCAACAGAUAUAUUUAGGCAUCGGUGUGUUUCUAGUCAGUGGACUUCUGGUUGUCCACUGCAUUAAUCUUUGUGAGAAAUAAAGGAGAGAAGUAUUAUUGCAUCGUGUUGACUAUAUUAUUACACUGAGCCAUAUUUAUAGACG
This is a long non-coding RNA of Solanum stenotomum, 800 nucleotides long. RefSeq lists it as uncharacterized. Lineage: Eukaryota; Viridiplantae; Streptophyta; Magnoliopsida; Solanales; Solanaceae. The record is from RefSeq and is a predicted model, not a curated record. The transcript has 3 exons.